AUAAAACAAAACUAAUAGACAUGGACGUUCUCAACAUCGUCUUCUCCGCUUUCUCUUAAGGUUCUUUGUAUCCUGAAGAUAAGAUUAGGUCUAACUCCAAUGGAGGUUGUACGAGGUCGUAUGUCUCAAAAAUUCGUUUGGAAUCACUGUGUCGUUUUCGUUGAUGACGUUUCGUUCCUGAUUCAUCGCCUCUCUUACGUUAUAUAAUUAAGUGUUCAUCGCUAUGAACAUCGUUCUUUACUCCUUGGACCCACUCACCCACGAUUCGUCAUUCAAUACUUCUCUUCUCCCUUCUAGGUACCUAUAAAAAAGUGUGUCUUCUUCUCAUAAACAUCAUCCUCACCAAUCCAACUUCGCGAUUUUAAAUGUGCCUGUAUUAAACCGCUCCGGAACCAUCGAAUCCAUUGGCAAGGCAAGUCCAUCUCUCGCUGGAAAUUUGGAAACCAGGAUCGUGCUCUUUUUUUUGGAGGAGGAUACACAGAAAAGGCUAUUGUAAAACCUUCAAAUCCCCGGCCGGUGUCCUUCCAAAAGGUAUAGCGGCUUUCCCUGAAGUGGAGCUUGGUUUCCUUGGAGUAGAACCAGGCUUCUGAAUUCACGUUAUGAUGAUGCGGACGGUGAGCAUCCGAAACCUACACAGUACUCGGCAGUCAGCAGAAGGUUAGCCUCCAGAAGCAAUUACGACGAUGAUGAUGCCACUACGAUGGCUUACUAUGAUGCUAGAAAAUCUUUGGAGUAAGACAGAAAGAAAGAAACUUUUCUUUUCUCAAAAAAAAAAAGGUCGCAUGUUUUCUAGAAGGCGAGAAACGUCCAAUAUCUCCACUGUUGAAAUGCCUAUGUGAUUUGAUUAUCGGCAUAAUUAAUAGGUCACAUGUUUUUUAAAAGGCAUACAAAGACGUUUCGUGUUGUGUGAUUUUAUUUUAAAAACGUUGGUCUAAA
Molecule: long non-coding RNA, 936 nt
Organism: Brassica napus (rape)
Lineage: Eukaryota; Viridiplantae; Streptophyta; Magnoliopsida; Brassicales; Brassicaceae
Exons: 3
Source: RefSeq, a predicted model, not a curated record